AUGCACGCUGACACGGUAGGCAGUUGUAAAGUGUGUCCUCUGACACAUUGGUGCGGCUGGCUUCCGGGUUAAGCGAGCAGUGUGUAAAGAAGCAGUGCAGGUUGGCAGCGUUGUGUUUUGGAGGACGCAUGGCUCUCGACUUUCAUCUCUCCUGAGUCUGUACGGGAGUGGCACCGAUGGGACAAGACUGUAACUACCAAUUGGAUAUCAUGAAAAACGGGUAAAACUAACAAACCAUUUUGGGGGAAAGAAGUGAGAUCUAAUAUGCAACAACUAGCAUGGGUUGCUAAUAGGGUUUCGGUUAAAUGCGGAAGACACAUUUCAGUUGAAGGCAUUCAGUUGUACAACUGACUAAGUAUCCCCCUUUCCUUUCCUAAUAUGACUAUGAUUGUGGCUUUGGCUACUGGACAAUGAAAGAAAGUAUAUGGUCCGAUUUUGGAAAGGCUACUUUGAAGCAAGGACCGCCAUGCCUUGAAGCUGCCUUGGGUUCCAACCAGGACAAAAUGGCAUAAAUGGGAAGACAGCAGGGUGAUUCAUCAAAACGAGUUUUCCCCACCAUACAGGUCUUGGAUCACAUAAAGUAUGGAGAUAGAUUCCUGAAAACUCCCCAAGCAGCUGAUUGGUCGACCCCAGGCUAAUUGAUGAUUGGAGAGCUGACCCCGCCCCCUCCUCAAGAAGCAGCUGACUCUAAUCACCAUUGCCACCUGAAGAUAUAAAAGCCAGUGUUAUGUUCAGAAAUGAUUGGAGGUUAGAGGGAGAUUGAAUGUUUUGGAGGAAAGAUUAGAGGGAGAUUGAAUGUUUUGGAGGAAAGAUUAGAGGGAGAUUGAAUGUUUUGGAGGAAAGAUUAGAGGGAGAUUGAAUGUUUUGGAGGAAAGAUUAGAGGGAGAUUGAAUGUUUUGGAGGAAAGAUUAGAGGGAGAUUGAAUGUUUUGGAGGAAAGAUUAGAGGGAGAUUGAAUGUUUUGGAGAAAAGAUUAGAGGGAGAUUGAAUGUUUUGGAGAAAAGAUUAGAGGGAGAUUGAAUGUUUUGGAGAAAAGAUUAGAGGGAGAUUGAAUGUUUUGGAGAAAAGAUUAGAGGGAGAUUGAAUGUUUUGGAGAAAAGAUUAGAGGGAGAAUGAAUGUUUUGGAGAAAAGAUUAGAGGGAGAUUGAAUGUUUUGGAGAAAAGAUUAGAGGGAGAUUGAAUGUUUUGGAGAAAAGAUUAGAGGGAGAUUGAAUGUUUUGGAGAAAAGAUUAGAGGGAGAUUGAAUGUUUUGGAGAAAAGAUUAGAGGGAGAUUGAAUGUUUUGGAGAAAAGAUUAGAGGGAGAUUGAAUGUUUUGGAGAAAAGAUUAGAGGGAGAUUGAAUGUUUUGGAGAAAAGAUUAGAGGGAGAUUGAAUGUUUUGGAGAAAAGAUUAGAGGGAGAUUGAAUGUUUUGGAGAAAAGAUUAGAGGGAGAUUGAAUGUUUUGGAGAAAAGAUUAGAGGGAGAUUGAAUGUUUUGGAGAAAAGAUUAGAGGGAGAUUGAAUGUUUUGGAGAAAUCAUUAGAAAGAGCUCUGUGUUUUGUUGCUUUGUCAAAGCUUCUGGCCUGAGUUAGUUUACUCAGUUUUGUUGUAAAGUGUUUGUGAAAUUGUUAAUAAUUAUUCUGUUUCAUUUGUUCCCAGGGGGGAAGGGGAAGGCGCUUAGGCAAGAGGCCUGAGGGCAUACAUAUACCCGUAGUAUAUUCAAUGUCUAGGCACACUAGGUAAGAUCUGGGCGGACCACCCCCUGUAUUUUGGUUAGGGCACCAGGUGGUGCUAAGUUAGGUAAGUUAAGUGGGUAGGCAGGUUAGAUAGGAGAGGGGGAGCUUUGAUAUUUACUUUCUUUCCUUUGGUUCCGUCCAGCCCCUUUUCCCCAUAUUACCGUGUAGGAAA
Salvelinus fontinalis (brook trout) is the source of this 1885-nucleotide long non-coding RNA. RefSeq lists it as uncharacterized. NCBI's taxonomy places the organism in Eukaryota, Metazoa, Chordata, Actinopteri, Salmoniformes, Salmonidae. The record is from RefSeq and is a predicted model, not a curated record. The transcript is spliced from 4 exons.